AAGUCGUAACAAGGUUUCCGUAGGUGAACCUACGGAAGGAUCAUUAAAGAAUUCGGCUUCGCGGCCAAGUUCUCACCCUUUGUAUACCGAAACUAUGUUGCUUUGGCAGGCCCCUGCAUUUCUUCGGCCUGGCCAGCAGGUGAUAACCACUAGAAUCUCUGCUGUCUGAGUACUAUGCAAUAGUUAAAA
RNAcentral lists this unclassified non-coding RNA (189 nucleotides) under plant metagenome. RNAcentral's name for it is "partial contains small subunit ribosomal RNA and internal transcribed spacer 1". The stretch from base 1 to 46 matches the Rfam family "Eukaryotic small subunit ribosomal RNA", at positions 1786 to 1831 of the family's 1831-position model. The record is from RNAcentral.